RNAcentral lists this transfer RNA (71 nucleotides) under Urocitellus parryii (Arctic ground squirrel). Its description in RNAcentral is "Spermophilus parryii (Arctic ground squirrel) tRNA". It matches the Rfam family "tRNA". From Rfam's summary of the family: Transfer RNA (tRNA) molecules are approximately 80 nucleotides in length. Lineage: Eukaryota; Metazoa; Chordata; Mammalia; Rodentia; Sciuridae. RNAcentral also lists the same sequence under 1 other name. The record is from Rfam by way of RNAcentral.
GGGGGUAUAGCUUAUGGUAGAGUGCUUGCCUAGCAUGUGUGAGGCCCUGGGUUCAAUCCCCAGUACCACUA